GGGGGUUUAGCACAGUGGCAAUGCAGCGGUCUCCAAAACCGUCAAGACGGGUUCGAUUCCUGUAACCCCCGCCA
This 74-nucleotide transfer RNA is filed under the name Mycoplasma sp. Ms02. RNAcentral's name for it is "tRNA-Trp". It matches the Rfam family "tRNA". From Rfam's summary of the family: Transfer RNA (tRNA) molecules are approximately 80 nucleotides in length. Their secondary structure includes four short double-helical elements and three loops (D, anti-codon, and T loops). The record is from RNAcentral. Lineage: Bacteria; Bacillati; Mycoplasmatota; Mollicutes; Mycoplasmatales; Mycoplasmataceae.